Molecule: ribosomal RNA, 558 nt
Filed under: uncultured bacterium
Lineage: Bacteria
Description: partial 16S ribosomal RNA
Rfam family: Bacterial small subunit ribosomal RNA
Source: RNAcentral
UAGGGAAUCUUCCACAAUGGACGCAAGUCUGAUGGAGCAACGCCGCGUGAGUGAAGAAGGUUUUCGGACCGUAAAGCUCUGUUGUUGGUGAAGAAGGAUAGAGGUAGUAACUGGCCUUUAUUUGACGGUAAUCAACCGGAAAGUCACGGCUAACUACGUGCCAGCAGCCGCGGUAAUACGUAGGUGGCAAGCGUUGUCCGGAUUUAUUGGGCGUAAAGCGAGCGCAGGCGGAAGAAUAAGUCUGAUGUGAAAGCCCUCGGCUUAACCGAGGAAUUGCAUCGGAAACUGUUUUUCUUGAGUGCAGAAGAGGAGAGUAGAACUCCAUGUGUAGCGGUGGAAUGCGUAGAUAUAUGGAAGAAUACCAGUGGCGAAGGCGGCUCUCUGGUCUGCAACUGACGCUGAGGCUCGAAAGCAUGGGUAGCGAACAGGAUUAGAUACCCUGGUAGUCCAUGCCGUAAACGAUGAGUGCUAAGUGUUGGGAGGCUUCCGCCUCUCAGUGUGCAUGCAGCUAACGCAUUAAGCACUCCGCCUGGGGGAGUACGACCGCAAGGUUGAAAC